This 1316-nucleotide long non-coding RNA is filed under the name Nicotiana tabacum (common tobacco). RNAcentral's name for it is "long non-coding RNA (NTAB_LNC015050)". Lineage: Eukaryota; Viridiplantae; Streptophyta; Magnoliopsida; Solanales; Solanaceae. The record is from RNAcentral.
AUUCUAAUUUUUUGGCCGCAAAAGGAAAAAAAGGGGAACGAUUAUGGCGGGGCAGUGACUAUGCUUCCUUAGGUCGUAUUUGAUGGCCCGAAAAUAUUUUAGGCGAUCGGGGUCUAGGGGUCCCGGGACCACGUUGAAGGCGUGGGGCACACGAAAAUAUGGGAAUCGGACGGAAUUCUAAUUUUUUGGCCGAAAAAUGCAAAAUGUGAGGAACGAUCAUGGCUGGGUGGUGACUAUGGUUCCUUUACUCGUAUUUAAUGGCCCAAAAAAUAUUUAGACAUUCCGAGUCCAGGGAGCCCGGCCCACUCGGAAGGUGUGGGCUAUAGCACACGAAAAUAUAGGAAUCGGAUGGAAUUCUAGUUUUUUCGUUGAAAAACACAAACAACUAAGAACGUUCAUGGUGAGGCGUGACUAUGGUUCCUUAGGUCAUAUUUGAUGGUCCGGAAAAAUUUUUGGCGAUCCGGCUCCGGGGGGCCCUACCUAAUGGGAAGGCGUGGGCAAUUAUAGCAUACGAAACUAUGGAAAUCGGGCGGAAUUCUAGUUUGUUGGCCGAAAAAUGCAAAAAGUGAGGAACGAUCAUGGCGGGGAGGUGACUAUGGUUCCAUAAAUGUUAUUUGAUGCCCCGAAAAAAAUUUAGGUGAUCCGAGUCCAGGGGACCCAGCCCACUCGAAAGGCAUGGGCUAUAGCACACGAAAAUAUGGGAAUCGGGCAGAAUUCUAGGUUUUUGGUCAAAAAACUCAAAAUUUGUGGAACGAUCAUGGCGGGGCGGUGACUAUGCUUCCUUAGGUCGUAUUUAAUGGCCUGGAAAUUUUUGAGACGUUCCGAGUCAGGGGGGCCCGGCCCACUCGGAAUGUGUGGGCUAUAGCACAAGAAAAUAUGGGAUUCUGGCGGAAAUCUAGUUUUUCGCUGAAAAACGCAAACAACUAGGAACGUUCAUGGCAUGGCGGUGACGACGAUUCCUUAGGUCGUAUUUGAUGGUCCGGAAAAAUUUUAAGUGAUCGGGGUCCGGGGGUCCCGGGACCACUCGGAAGGCGUGGGCUAUAGCACACGAAAAUAUGGGAAUCGUGCGGAAUUCGAAAUUUUUGGCCGAAAAAUGCAAAAAACUAGGAACGUUCAUGGCGGGGCAGUGACUAUGGUUCCUUAGGUCGUGUUUGAUGGAAUGGAAAAAUUUUAGGCGAUUGGGGUCCGGGGGUCCCGGGACCACUUGGAAGGCGUGGGCUAUAGCACACAAAAAUAUGAGAAUCAGGCGGAAUUCUAGUUUUUUGGCCAAAAAAUGCAAAAAAUGAGGAACGAUCAUGGCGGGAAGGGGACUAUGG